RNAcentral lists this ribosomal RNA (169 nucleotides) under Anopheles funestus (African malaria mosquito). RNAcentral's name for it is "eukaryotic large subunit ribosomal RNA". It matches the Rfam family "Eukaryotic large subunit ribosomal RNA", at positions 2634 to 2802 of the family's 3401-position model. The record is from RNAcentral. Lineage: Eukaryota; Metazoa; Arthropoda; Insecta; Diptera; Culicidae.
UUCAGUUCCAAAACGAUAACGGAGGUGUCCAAAGGUCAGCUCAGAGUGGACAGAAACCACCCGUUGAGCAUAAGGACAAAAGCUGGUUUGAUCCUAACGUUCAGUACACGCCGGGACAGCGAAAGCUUGGCCUUACGAUCCUUUUGGUAUAACGAGUUUUUAGCAAGAG